This 73-nucleotide transfer RNA is filed under the name Pithovirus LCPAC304. RNAcentral describes it as "tRNA-Thr". It matches the Rfam family "tRNA". Rfam says of the family: Transfer RNA (tRNA) molecules are approximately 80 nucleotides in length. Their secondary structure includes four short double-helical elements and three loops (D, anti-codon, and T loops). Lineage: Varidnaviria; Bamfordvirae; Nucleocytoviricota; Megaviricetes; Pimascovirales; Pithoviridae. The record is from RNAcentral.
GGAUUCAUAGUAUAGUGGUAGUAUGCCUGCUUUGUGAGAGCAGGUGACCUCGGUUCGAUUCCGGGUGUAUCCU